GACGAACGCUGGCGGCGUGCCUAAUACAUGCAAGUUGAGCGAUGAAGAUUGGUGCUUGCACCAAUUUGAAGAGCAGCGAACGGGUGAGUAACGCGUGGGGAAUCUGCCUUUGAGCGGGGGACAACAUUUGGAAACGAAUGCUAAUACCGCAUAACAACUUUAAACAUAAGUUUUAAGUUUGAAAGAUGCAAUUGCAUCACUCAAAGAUGAUCCCGCGUUGUAUUAGCUAGUUGGUGAGGUAAAGGCUCACCAGGGCGAUGAUACAUAGCCGACCUGAGAGGGUGAUCGGCCACAGUGGGACUGAGACACGGCCCAAACUCCUACGGGAGGCAGCAGUAGGGAAUCUUCGGCAAUGGACGAAAGUCUGACCGAGCAACGCCGCGUGAGUGAAGAAGGGUUUCGGAUCGUAAAACUCUGUUGGUAGAGAAGAACGUUGGUGAGAGUGGAAAGCUCAUCAAGUGACGGUAACUACACAGAAAGGGACGGCUAACUACGUG
This 497-nucleotide ribosomal RNA is filed under the name uncultured bacterium. RNAcentral describes it as "partial 16S ribosomal RNA". It matches the Rfam family "Bacterial small subunit ribosomal RNA", at positions 28 to 507 of the family's 1533-position model. The record is from RNAcentral.